AACCAGCACCUCAAGUGGUCAGGAUGAUUAUUGGGCCUAAAGCAUCCGUAGCCUGUUCUGCAAGUCUUCGGUUAAAUCCAUCAACUCAAGUUAUGGGCCGCCGAAGAUACUGCAGAACUAGGGAGUGGGAGAGGUAGACGGUACUCGGUAGGAAGGGGUAAAAUCCUUUGAUCUAUUGAUGACCACCUGUGGCGAAGGCGGUCUACCAGAACACGUUCGACGGUGAGGGAUGAAAGCUGGGGGAGCAAACCGG
RNAcentral lists this ribosomal RNA (253 nucleotides) under uncultured archaeon. RNAcentral describes it as "partial 16S ribosomal RNA". It matches the Rfam family "Archaeal small subunit ribosomal RNA", at positions 474 to 727 of the family's 1478-position model. The record is from RNAcentral.